RNAcentral lists this ribosomal RNA (497 nucleotides) under uncultured bacterium. Its description in RNAcentral is "partial 16S ribosomal RNA". It matches the Rfam family "Bacterial small subunit ribosomal RNA", at positions 28 to 507 of the family's 1533-position model. The record is from RNAcentral.
GAUGAACGCUGGCGGCGUGCCUAAUACAUGCAAGUCGAGCGAACAGACGAGGAGCUUGCUCCUCUGACGUUAGCGGCGGACGGGUGAGUAACACGUGGAUAACCUACCUAUAAGACUGGGAUAACUUCGGGAAACCGGAGCUAAUACCGGAUAAUAUAUUGAACCGCAUGGUUCAAUAGUGAAAGACGGUUUUGCUGUCACUUAUAGAUGUAUCCGCGCCGCAUUAGCUAGUUGGUAAGGUAACGGCUUACCAAGGCAACGAUGCGUAGCCGACCUGAGAGGGUGAUCAGCCACACUGGAACUGAGACACGGUCCAGACUCCUACGGGAGGCAGCAGUAGGGAAUCUUCCACAAUGGGCGAAAGCCUGACGGAGCAACGCCGCGUGAGUGAUGAAGGUCUUCGGAUCGUAAAACUCUGUUAUUAGGGAAGAACAAAUGUGUAAGUAACUAUGCACGUCUUGACGGUACCUAAUCAGAAAGCAACGGCUAACUACGUG